GAUGAACGCUGGCGGCGUGCCUAAUACAUGCAAGUCGAGCGAACAGAUAAGGAGCUUGCUCCUUUGACGUUAGCGGCGGACGGGUGAGUAACACGUGGGUAACCUACCUAUAAGACUGGGAUAACUUCGGGAAACCGGAGCUAAUACCGGAUAAUAUUUCGAACCGCAUGGUUCGAUAGUGAAAGAUGGUUUUGCUAUCACUUAUCGAUGGACCCGCGCCGUAUUAGCUAGUUGGUAAGGUAACGGCUUACCAAGGCGACGAUACGUAGCCGACCUGAGAGGGUGAUCGGCCACACUGGAACUGAGACACGGUCCAGACUCCUACGGGAGGCAGCAGUAGGGAAUCUUCCGCAAUGGGCGAAAGCCUGACGGAGCAACGCCGCGUGAGUGAUGAAGGUCUUCGGAUCGUAAAACUCUGUUAUUAGGGAAGAACAUACGUGUAAGUAACUGUGCACGUCUUGACGGUACCUAAUCAGAAAGCCACGGCUAACUACGUG
RNAcentral lists this ribosomal RNA (497 nucleotides) under uncultured bacterium. RNAcentral describes it as "partial 16S ribosomal RNA". It matches the Rfam family "Bacterial small subunit ribosomal RNA", at positions 28 to 507 of the family's 1533-position model. The record is from RNAcentral.